This 253-nucleotide ribosomal RNA is filed under the name uncultured bacterium. Its description in RNAcentral is "partial 16S ribosomal RNA". It matches the Rfam family "Bacterial small subunit ribosomal RNA", at positions 524 to 776 of the family's 1533-position model. The record is from RNAcentral.
UACGUAGGUGGCAAGCGUUGUCCGGAUUUACUGGGCGUAAAGAGCGCGCAGGCGGUCGUUCAAGUCGCGUGUGAAAGCCCCCGGCUCAACUGGGGAGGGUCACGCGAUACUGAUCGACUCGAAGGCAGGAGAGGGAAGUGGAAUUCCCGGUGUAGUGGUGAAAUUCGUAGAUAUCGGGAGGAACACCAGUGGCGAAGGCGGCGACCUGGACGGACACUGACGCUGAGACGCGAAAGCGUGGGUAGCAAACAGG